UGAGAUCACCGACGACGGAGCCAUAUCUGCGUCUCCGUGUCGGCUGAUAGUAUUUUUUUGAUGUUUGCGUGUCCUUUGCCCACAGUUGACCUGCCCUGCCCAGCUCCUUUUUGUCAGAUCCUCCGAUUCUAAUUACUC
Molecule: non-coding RNA, 138 nt
Organism: Caenorhabditis elegans
Lineage: Eukaryota; Metazoa; Nematoda; Chromadorea; Rhabditida; Rhabditidae
Source: Ensembl